GGUUGUAGCUCAGUGGUAGAGCGCUUGCCUACCUUGUGUGAGGCACUGGGUUCGAUCCUCAGCACCA
This 67-nucleotide transfer RNA is filed under the name Marmota monax (woodchuck). RNAcentral's name for it is "tRNA.Gly". The record is from RNAcentral. Lineage: Eukaryota; Metazoa; Chordata; Mammalia; Rodentia; Sciuridae.